This 364-nucleotide long non-coding RNA is filed under the name Vigna radiata. RNAcentral describes it as "long non-coding RNA (VRAD_LNC007464)". The record is from RNAcentral. Lineage: Eukaryota; Viridiplantae; Streptophyta; Magnoliopsida; Fabales; Fabaceae.
CUAUAUGAAAAAGAAUGAGGAAAGAAAGGUACGUAUGUAUGUAUAUACAUCUGACCAACGUGUAGUCAUUGUUGAUGAUUGCAUGAAGGAGAUGGUGGUUGAAAAAAAACAAAAGGAAGAAGCUUAACUUCAAGGCAAUGGAGACCCUGCAACCAACAACAUCCACAUAUUAGGUGAACACACCAAAACCUGCAAGCCUCAGUGUUCCUUCAUAAACAUAAACUUUGCUCUCAAUUUCACCACUCACUAUUUUUUUGUUGUGUUGUGUCACAUUGUUGUCCCAUUCAUCAGUCACCACCGCCAACAUGGAAGCCAGCGCUGGACUGGUCGCUGGUUCUCACAAUAGGAACGAACUCGUUGUCAU